CCUACGGGGUGCAGCAGUGGGGAAUAUUGGGCAAUGGGCGCAAGCCUGACCCAGCAACGCCGCGUGAAGGAAGAAGGCUUUCGGGUUGUAAACUUCUUUUAAGGGGGAAGAGCAGAAGACGGUACCCCUUGAAUAAGCCACGGCUAACUACGUGCCAGCAGCCGCGGUAAUACGUAGGUGGCAAGCGUUGUCCGGAUUUACUGGGUGUAAAGGGCGUGCAGCCGGUGAGACAAGUCAGAUGUGAAAUCCACGGGCUCAACCCGUGAACUGCAUUUGAAACUGUUUCCCUUGAGUGUCGGAGAGGUAAUCGGAAUUCCUUGUGUAGCGGUGAAAUGCGUAGAUAUAAGGAAGAACACCAGUGGCGAAGGCGGAUUACUGGACGAUAACUGACGGUGAGGCGCGAAAGCGUGGGGAGCAAACAGGAUUAGAUACCCCAGUAGUC
This 442-nucleotide ribosomal RNA is filed under the name uncultured bacterium. Its description in RNAcentral is "partial 16S ribosomal RNA". It matches the Rfam family "Bacterial small subunit ribosomal RNA", at positions 338 to 795 of the family's 1533-position model. The record is from RNAcentral.